RNAcentral lists this ribosomal RNA (465 nucleotides) under uncultured bacterium. RNAcentral describes it as "partial 16S ribosomal RNA". It matches the Rfam family "Bacterial small subunit ribosomal RNA", at positions 339 to 795 of the family's 1533-position model. The record is from RNAcentral.
CUACGGGGGGCUCCAGUGAGGAAUUUUGCGCAAUGGGCGAAAGCCUGACGCAGCAACGCCGCGUGAGUGAUGAAGGCCUUCGGGUCGUAAAGCUCUGUCAAGUGGGAAGAACCUAUGUAAUGUUAAUAUCAUUAUAUACUGACGGUACCACUGAAGGAAGCACCGGCUAACUCCGUGCCAGCAGCCGCGGUAAUACGGGGGGUGGCAGCGUUAUUCGGAAUCAUUGGGCGUAAAGGGCACGUAGGCGGCCUGGUAAGUCAGAUGUGAAAGCCCGGGGCUUAACCCCGGAAGUGCAUUUGAUACUGUCAGGCUUGAGUAUGGGAGAGGGAAGUGGAAUUCCUGGUGUAGAGGUGAAAUUCGUAGAUAUCAGGAGGAACACCGGUGGCGAAGGCGACUUCCUGGACCAAUACUGACGCUGAGGUGCGAAGGCGUGGGUAGCAAACAGGAUUAGAUACCCUCGUAGUC